RNAcentral lists this long non-coding RNA (5146 nucleotides) under Nothobranchius furzeri (turquoise killifish). Its description in RNAcentral is "lncRNA (ENSNFUG00015006576.1)". Lineage: Eukaryota; Metazoa; Chordata; Actinopteri; Cyprinodontiformes; Nothobranchiidae. The record is from RNAcentral.
AUGUUCAGCGCUUAUCUCAAGGCUCUUUGUCUGUCUCUGGGUGUACGGCGCUUCUGCAUUUUUUCUGGAAAACUGGAAACUGAAAUUGCUAAAAUGUACCUGGUCAGUUGGUCUCUCAACGCGAUUGACACAUUUUCUUCAACGAUGAGAACGGGAGAAGGGGUUCCCGGGUGCCCCUCUGGGACAGAACCAGUUGGGCAUAUCAUGGACUCCUGGAAACAGUGGAACCUGAUUUGCUUAUCUCAACUGUCUGUAGAGGAUUCUGAAGACGUCAGGAUAUUUGUGGUGUUGGUGUCAGGUUUCCUGCUUUUUGGCCUGGGAGGUUACCGGGCUUACCGGAAAAUUAACGAGCUGUCAAGGAAUAUUGGCUCUUUCCCGGAGCUCAGGGAUGGAUUAUACUGCGCUGUGAAUGCACAGACUCAUAUAAUUGUUGAGAUGAGUCAUAAGCUUGGAACUUUGGCUGAGAUUCAUGCAUUGGCACAAAAGAUGGAUGAGAUCAAGGAGCGAGUGGACGAAUCAGCAUGGAUUGAGGUAGAUUAAUUUACGCCAUAUUUGAAUUCAUAGGGGUUGAGGAUCAAUGGAACUUUAAGACAAAGAGGAAAUUAUCUCUGUCUGGCCCCAAAACAAUUUCUUAUCUGAAUCUGGUGCCCUUGAGCCUGUGAGGCUGAAACGAAUACCCCCCUCAGAAGAAAUGUGGAAUGCUGCCGUCACCAUGACAACUCUGUCUCCCUAUCCCAGUCUGGGAGGCACUGCGAGCUGUGAAGGCAGCUAAAUCGUUCCAGGAGUCACUGUGCCCUCUAAACCCAACGACCUCCCGCCCCUCUCCAGACUGAGAUGACGAGCGCUGCUUAUCGCGGCUGCAUUCACUGACGUGUGGAGAGUCCCAAACCCUACCACCCCACCUAGUGGACACUUAUGUUGUAUUAUGUCUGAAGUCUGUUGCAUUUCUGUCUGAGGUGUUUUUUGCAUAGCAAAGCUGCCCUCCCUGUGGAGGGUAACUCUGAAGGGCCUUUUUUUCCCUCCACCUGACCCCAUCCUCAUGUAAACCCCUCUGAUCUCUAUUAAGGUAGCGCGACUCGGGUUGCGAAUGACCACAGUCACCAAUUAUUGUCAUGUGUCUUUGUCUUUGCCUAUGUAUGUCUGAUCUCAGAAUUGUGUGUACUGAAACUCUAAUUUCCCUCUGGGAUUAAUAAAGUAUUUUUGAAUUUAAUUUAAUUUAAUUUAAUUUAAUUGAAAGACACCUGGUGUGGUCUUCUGCUGAUGGAGUUCAUCUGGAGCAGAUGGUUUAGUUCCGCAGGACCUGGAACAGGUGAUGAUGUGUGACUUCAAGUCCCUGUAGACUUUAGUGAUAGUUGCUGGCCCAAAUCCCAGAAAGUCAGCAGGUUCAGAAAUAACUGCAGGCAAGGUGGGUCAAGUGUCUUGCCCUGAGCUACUGAUGCCCCAUAAAUGUGAUUAUUUUCACCAAAUUAAUCUACUUCUUUGGUCUGAAAAAGGUUAAAGAGCAAAUUACAGGUUAAAUUUCAUAUAAAAUGCUGACGUAAUAAGGGGGAGUUAUACGCUAAUCCUGCCUGAAGCUCAGGGUGGAGAGUAGGUCGUUUUCUGGUAGAGAGGUCAUGUUAUCUAGUCAGUGUGUGUUCACUAGUUUUAGAUUGCGUUCUUUUUUCUUAAAAAUUAUAAACUAAUGUGUGGAGGAUCUACAAACUUCAGCAGGUCCAGACAUCGAGUCCACGGGUUAGAUAAGAGAAAGAACGGCAUUUUCUGGUCCUGGUGUGUCCAGAUCGGAGGAUUACAGAGUCAGUGAUGUGAUGGAGUUCAGCAUGUCUUCUAUCCUCCAGACACUUGUGGUGGAGUUUAGAACAAUAAUUGCUAGCUCCUAGAGUCCAGAUCAGGGACGUUAGCACUAAGCUCCAGAAGAGGAUGCAGAGCUAAUAAAAAAUUCCUAGCGAACUGGGGAAGCUGGUUUCUGGGUCCGACCCAGGCCCGGGCCACUGGCCCAGGUGAUGACAGGCGUCUCUCUCUCUCUAAAGCGCUAAACUACAUUACGUGAAUGGAUAUUGACAGGCAUGUAACCUGUUAAACAUUGUGAUGUUAGAGCAUGAGUAUAAGCUAGCUAGCUAGGAAUCUUGGUCAUUGUUUCUCCCUCUGGUUUGUCUCAGCUCUCUGGGGCGUGCAGCAGACUCAUAACUGUAUGGCUGUGGUCCACCAUGAGUAUAGUUAUAAACAUGUACAUUUCCUAAGUGUCAGAACCGGCAUUAAUAUCCAUAUUUUAUGUGGAUCAAGCUAACAGGACCCCCUCUGCCUGGUUUGGCAGAAAAAAAAACAUUUUUCUCACAAAAAUGACUCCAAAAGCAUAACAAUUAAUUUAUGUGUACAUUUUUAUUUAGUACAAGUUCCUGUUAUGUUUGUUAUGUAAUAUUUUUUCAAAGGAGGCUGUAACCUGCAACAUGCUCUUUAAAUCCAUGCAGAAGUAAUAUCUGUUCCUCUAUUCAUUUGCUAAAAGAAUCAAGUUAAAUUAUUCGUGUUCCUGUUUUGUUUUAAAACUGCUGCAGGCUGCUCCUUUAGCUGGGAUGGAACCAGGAGAGAGAGGAAAAGUGGAAAAGAGCAAAAAGAUAAAGUCAGUGACCCGACAUGUUACAGUGACUAUCCUGUACGUCUCUCUCUAAAAGAAACACACACACACACACACACACACAUACACACACACGCGCGCACACACGCACACACACACACACACACACACACACACACUGGAGCAUCGUGCAUGUUAAUCUGAACUGAUUGCAUGUCCACUUACAUAAAUUAUGAACCUUGGUGGAUGCAUUAUUUACUCAAUAGAAUUAAAAAAGCACACCAGGUUGCUGAAUGACAUCACACACACACACACACACACACACACACACACACACACACACACACACACACACACACAGGAAUGCAGCAUUUAUCCUGUAGACUCAUGUCUGUUCCUCUCGUCUUUCACUUGGUUUUCCUUCCAUCCAGCAUUCCUUUGUCCCAGUUGCCUCCAGCCUUCUCCUCUCUUUCUAUUUCUAUUUUCACUUCUUGUUUUGUAAAGUAUUUCAUUUCUUUGUGUUUUAGACUUUUGUUUGUUGUUUCUAACAAACCAUGCUCACCAUUUUUGGGUUUUGUGUGAGUUUGUAUAUCUGAGCAUUGGACAUCGCUCCCAAUAAAACAUAUUUCACAACAAAGCCACUGGGUUUGCAACUUUAGGUGAGUUUUUGACAUUAACUAGAUGAAAACGUCCAUGUGUGUAAAAUCCUUGUUGACUGAUGAAGGCUUGAGCAUUCUGCUGCGUUUAGGAUCGAAAACACCCAAAACAUCAUCUGGCCACAGAAUGAUUUCCUUAUUACAGCAGAGUCAUUGUCAUCUCUAGUUUUUAACUCCAGAUACAGAAGAAUGUGUGUCUACACUCUGCAGGAGCAAAGGAAAAGCAGAUUGCCGUAAUCUGCCGAACCACAGCCCCACAGUUUGAUCGUGUGGCAGGAGAUGUGUGAUGCUGCUGUUGACUAUGGAGCCUGAUGUUUUAGGUAGAUGCAUGUUCACCUGUAACUUUCUAGUGGUGUACCUGCAUUUCCCCACGAUAAAGGAUCAUUCAAAUACAAUCAGACUAGAGAAUUUAAAGACAUGACCCAUAAAUCACACAGCAUUUCUGGAGAUCACACUAUGUGUACCACACUAUCAGAAGACAAUGUUGCAUCCUUCUCCUUGUAGCUCAUUCCAUCAUAGAAGCACUGAAGUCAGAACAGCCAGACAUCCUGGGUUCUUCUAAAACGGGUGGAUAGCAAAGCCCUGUCUCCCCAACCCAGUGAUGAGGCCUCUGAAACAGUCUGAGAGACUAUUUAACAAAGAGCAGCAGAAGAAGAGUGAAAGAUGACUUCUAACCACACGUUUUCAUUCAGCGCCCUGAAUCCCAGUGACUAUGUGGUCGACUUACCACCUAAAUAUAGAGAAUAAUGCUCAGAAUUGCGGGUUUUAGAGGGCUACCCGGCCUUAUAGCACGGCCGCCGACUCCUGAAUAUGCAUGGUGCCGAGCAGGGAAAGGAAAGCGCCAGGCGAGACACAGAGGAUUUGAUGUUCAAUAAAAGAAAAAGCCUUUGACAUGGAAUACGAGCGGGGCCCAGCCUCAAUAUAAAAGAACCAGGAGGGGAAUUAGAUGGAUGGAGAAUUCCUUCAGAUGUACAGACACAGAAGAGACAAAAAAGAGAGCAGUGAGAAAAGGAAAGCGGAUAUUUGACUGUUUCUGACUGUAGAUGUGUGCAUGAGCGAGUGACAGAAACAUACUUUUAUAUUUAGACAUUCCUCUCUGCGCCCUCUCUGAGUAUGGAGAAUACAAACCUAUGAUACAUCAUAAGUAAGUCAUUGAAAAGUCUCGCUGCUCUGCUCUCCAACUCUUAAAAGACUCCCUCCGCUCACUCAAGUCUCAGCAACUUUCUGCCAGCUCGUAAAGAUUACCUUUAGAAUCCACCAGUUACUUAAACAGCUCCUGAAAUUAGACCGGGCCUGCGGGUCAACCUCAUUACACUUCCCAUUAGCAAUCAUACAUUAACUCUGCACAACCAAGUAGUUGUUCAAGGCCUACUGAGUGAGAGUAGGUGAUCUUCACAAGGAGGAACGGUAACUAAAUGUCCUCAUUCUCAUGUUCCUCCUGUAAAAGGAAAAGUCUGCUUUUAAAGGAUGAUCCAUUUAUUCCUGCUUCAUCUAGGAAGCAGGUCUGAAGGAUGGUGACAUUGUUGAAAAGGUUUUGUCUCGGUUGAUUUAAUUCUUGUUUAGGUCAAUACCUGUCAUCCAACCAGCGCAACAGCUGAGGAAUGUUUCCGUUGUAUUGACAACUACGCCCCCUACGGAGGUAUGCCCUCCUGAUCUGAAUUCGAGCGGUGUUUUGUUAUUGAACUUCUGUACUCAUCAUGGAUUGUCCAUAACGAACACUAUGUUCAGACAUAAAGGUGUCCAUAUGUCUUACAGCUCUGGGGCUGGUGCCUAUCUCCAGCGGUCAAUGGGCAAUCAGGUGGGGUACACCCUGGACAGAGAGCCAGUCCAUCGCAGGGCAACAGAGACACACAGGAUAAACAAUCACACACACACACACACACACACACACACACACCUAAGGACAAUUUAGACAGACCAA